RNAcentral lists this long non-coding RNA (2610 nucleotides) under Hordeum vulgare. RNAcentral's name for it is "long non-coding RNA (HVUL_LNC008877)". The record is from RNAcentral. Lineage: Eukaryota; Viridiplantae; Streptophyta; Magnoliopsida; Poales; Poaceae.
AAGCAGAAAAUGUAAUUAGACAUUGUGUGAGGACAUAUUUAAAAAAUGAACACUAAAAUAGAAAAUAGUUUCAAGCAAAAUAAGAAGUCUAACAUAAAGUACAAAAUUAAGACACACCUAAGCCGAAGCUCCUUGAUGGCGUCGAGCUCCUUGAUUUUCGAGGGUGUCGUAGCUCACCAUGUGUGUUGUUCCAACCUUUUUUGGAGUAACAUAAGACAAGGAGAAAUAUUGGACUUGCUUGAAGGUUGCAGCAAGCUGGAAUGAAUUCUAACUUCUUCACUUGAUGCAUCAUAUGUAGCUUAGCUUCGGUGUCUGAAAAAAUGACUUAAAAAUACGGAUAAUCUGGCAUUCGAAGAGGAAAGAUAUAUAACCUAGAAUGAAUUCUAACUUCUUCACUUGAUGCAUCAUAUGUAGCUUAGCUUCGGUAUGUGAAAAAAUGACUUAAAAAUACGGAUAAUCUGGCAUUGGAAGAGGAAAGAUAUAUAACCUAAUAUCUUUCGGCAUUUGCAUAUAAAGGUCGAGGUAUCACCUGCAGAAACUGCAACAUAUCAAUCACUAAAAAAACUCAAACAGAAAUCUGUUGUGAGUAACUGGAAAUCAUAAAAAAUAUCAAUAGUCCCAACAUAUAUAACCAGUGAACGGAAAGCAUAGUGUAAAAUCAUAAUAUUAGGUAGGUCCUUUGCUGAGCACAUAGUAAAAAAAAGGAGAUCAAAAAAUUUAAAGGCCUUAGUAGAAUUUAAAGGUUGCACAAUUCUUGUGAAAUUAUGAAAGUAAUUUAUCAAUAAUCCAUAUUUGGUUUCCCGUUGCACCUUGUUAGACCAGGGACCAUAUAUGUCCGAGUCCAACAUUAUUCCAAAUGUUGUUUCCGACUAGCUUUAACUUUCUCUCAUCUACUACAACUUAUCCAUUGUAGGCCAGGAGUAUAAGUAUGAGCACAAAUAUGAAUUAAAAAACAUUUCUUAUGCAUAGAGUAAUGCACCAGAAUCCAGAACAUAAAUAAUAAACAAUUAAUCGUAAAUAGAUAAUUGAGUCAGGAUCACAAUUUAAUUCUUUAUUUUGAAAAUUUUAUCUGCUUGUGUUGAAUUGAUCACAAGGCUGGAACUGCAGGAGAGGGAAUUACAGGGAUAAAACUUGAAGAUGAAUCAGCCUCCUCCACGAUGACUUUCACCAAGUAGGAGGAGAUCCCCGUCUCCGAGGGCCAUACAGGCGAAACACCCUCCACUCCAUGGUUUUCCUUACCUGCAAUUUUUCCGCCACUGAUCAAUGAGCAUUAUCAACACGCAAAAACUCUUUUCAAUUGACGUGAAAUUAAAGCUUCUAGACUCUAGAUCUACCUCACAUGUGAAGAAUUGUGGCUUCUUAAUGGGGGCAUGCGUGUCUCCAAUGUCGUUUGCUUGGCGCCAUCAGAAAAGAAAGGUACCAACAAGUCCUGCAGCUUGCCUUGGAUCAGUGCAGUCAACAUGCGCCACCAACAUCAGAUGUCGUGCUAGUGACCGAGAUGAUCCGAUAGUCCUAACCAAUGACCUCAUACAACAUACGUUAUUGAAUAAAGCUUAAGGUUCUUGUAGCAAUUGCUUGUGUAUAUAAUGUACUCCCUCUCACCUAUUCAAAUGCUGAAACGAUAUACGACACUGUAGAAUAAAACAAUGUCUCCACAAUUGCACUAACCUUGGUAUCUCUACAAGUGGUUGGCAUUGGCAGUAUGUUGAUUUAGAUCCUUGCGUCAUUGAAGUAUGAAAUUGAAAAGAUUUAUUUAUGUACUACAGAGAGAGAGAGAGAGAACCAUGGCUCUUUUAGCUUCUUGUGGCUACAGGUCAAGAGGCAUAGGCAGCGCAUCGACUUCGAAUGCCCUGCCAAGAACGACUGCUCCAUGUGAUGGAUUGCAGCAGAGCAGCUGAUCCUGAAUACCCAGAAGUCGCAACAAAAAAUUGUUUGAAAACUACAUCAUAUUAUUAGUGUCGACACUCUAAUCAGACAACAUUCAGCGACAUGUGUGGCUUAACCUAGGAACUCGCACUCUCUGACUCGGCUGGGAAACGCCGGAAUCAGUCAGCAACUAAGCCCGUCUUGUACGCACCAAUCCAUCCAUCUAGAACCACCAACGGGGUCAGCAAGAGCGCCAGUCCCUACCCGGAGACGAACGGAGCGCCAGAUCCAUAGUUCAGCGCCCGCAACAAACGAAUCUAAUGGGGCCGGCCACCCGCGCGCAGACGCGGCCGUGGGGCGAAGGGAGCGAUCGGCGAUGGGGCUUCGCGGGAGAGGAGGAGGGGGAGGGCAUGACCGGUGGUUGAUUGGGUGGUCAGUUACCUUGUCGUCGAAGAGGAAGACCUCGGCAAGGCCGGCGGCGCCGACACUGCCCUAGAUGACGACCGUGGAGGAGAGUAGAUGUAGCUGCGCGGGGAGGAGAUGCGGAGAGGUGUGGAUUGGGGAGAAAGAGAGAGUGGGAUCGGGGGAGAGGUCAGAUUGGGGGGUGGGGAGAUGGGAUGCCCGCUGUUAGUGGCCGUCCUCUUUGUCGUUCGCCUGCGUAUAAGCUGAAAGCAAAGAGGUCGAGGCAGACGGUAAAGGGGGUUCAUGCAGACGGCAAAAAGGCCCUUUGAUGGUAAAGAGGAA